GAGAUAAAUAAGAGAGAGGGAGAACUAGAGAAAGAGGGGUGGCCGGUGGCGACGUUUGGCGGCGAUUUGCGAUGGCUAGUGGUGGCCGGAGGUGGUCGGACUUGUGAGAUUCAACCUGGAACCAAUUAUCGAUGCUACGAACGCAAUGGUUACACGGAUCGUUACCAUUUAUCAUAAAGGACAAGGGGGCAAAGAUCGAGUCAUAGAACAUGGAUUGUAUGGAAUGGUGGUCACUUAGUUUGCAUUCGCAUGUUAUAGUUGGUACAUUAAUUAAAGAUGAAUGAUGUAAUUCUUUUAAA
Helianthus annuus (common sunflower) is the source of this 299-nucleotide long non-coding RNA. RefSeq lists it as uncharacterized. The transcript is spliced from 2 exons. NCBI's taxonomy places the organism in Eukaryota, Viridiplantae, Streptophyta, Magnoliopsida, Asterales, Asteraceae. The record is from RefSeq and is a predicted model, not a curated record.